RNAcentral lists this ribosomal RNA (447 nucleotides) under uncultured bacterium. RNAcentral describes it as "bacterial SSU rRNA". It matches the Rfam family "Bacterial small subunit ribosomal RNA", at positions 328 to 792 of the family's 1533-position model. The record is from RNAcentral.
UCUCCAGACUCCUACGGGAGGCAGCAGUGGGGAAUAUUGCACAAUGGGGGAAACCCUGAUGCAGCGACGCCGCGUGAGUGAAGAAGUCUUUCGGUAUGUAAAGCUCUAUCAGCAGGGAAGAAAAUGACGGUACCUGACUAAGAAGCCCCGGCUAACUACGUGCCAGCAGCCGCGGUAAUACGUAGGGGGCAAGCGUUAUCCGGAUUUACUGGGUGUAAAGGGAGCGUAGACGGCAGAGCAAGUCUGAAGUGAAAGCCCGCGGCCCAACUGCGGGACUGCUUUGGAAACUGUAUGGCUGGAGUGCAGGAGAGGUAAGUGGAAUUCCUAGUGUAGCGGUGAAAUGCGUAGAUAUUAGGAGGAACACCAGUGGCGAAGGCGGCUUACUGGACGAUAACUGACGGUGAGGCGCGAAAGCGUGGGGAGCAAACAGGAUUAGAUACCCGAGUA